Molecule: ribosomal RNA, 223 nt
Filed under: uncultured bacterium
Lineage: Bacteria
Description: partial 16S ribosomal RNA
Rfam family: Bacterial small subunit ribosomal RNA
Source: RNAcentral
GGUUCAAUUCGACGCAACGCGAAGAACCUUACCCAGGCUUGAACAGCGAGUGACCACUCCCGAAAGGGAGCUUCCGCAAGGACACUCGUAGAGGUGCUGCAUGGCUGUCGUCAGCUCGUGUCGUGAGAUGUUGGGUUAAGUCCCGCAACGAGCGCAACCCUUGUCUUCUGUUGCCAUCAGGUUAUGCUGGGCACUCUGAAGAGACUGCCGGUGAUAAACCGGA